This is a non-coding RNA of Acanthosepion pharaonis, 111 nucleotides long. The record is from the annotation of a GenBank genome assembly. NCBI's taxonomy places the organism in Eukaryota, Metazoa, Mollusca, Cephalopoda, Sepiida, Sepiidae.
UUACGUCCACAUCAAUUUGAAACACUGGUUCCUGUACGAUCACUGAAGUUAAGCAACGUCGAGUCUGGUCAGUACCUAGAAGGGUAACAGCUUGGGAAUACAGGUGCAGUA